RNAcentral lists this ribosomal RNA (1216 nucleotides) under Conger myriaster (whitespotted conger). RNAcentral describes it as "partial 16S rRNA". It matches the Rfam family "Bacterial large subunit ribosomal RNA", at positions 705 to 2561 of the family's 2925-position model. The record is from RNAcentral. Lineage: Eukaryota; Metazoa; Chordata; Actinopteri; Anguilliformes; Congridae.
GUCUGAGACCCCGAAACUAGACGAGCUACUCCGAAGCAGUCUAAAAGGACUAACCCGUCUCUGUGGCAAAAGAGUGGGAAGACUUCCGAGUAGAGGUGAAAAGCCUACCGAGCCUAGUUAUAGCUGGUUGCUUAAGAAAAGAAUAUGAGUUCAGCCUUAUAAGUUUCUCAAAAAUCAAAAUGAAAGAAUAAAGUAACACAUAAGAGUUAGUCGAAGGGGGUACAGCUCCUUCGAAAAAGAACACAACCUUACCCAGGUAAAUAAGGAUUAUACUAAAAAAGGACAUGACUUUCAACAGUGGGCCCGAAAGCAGCCACCUCUAAUAGAAAGCGUUAAAGCUCAAGAACAGCCACACCAAAAAUAAAAAUAACCACUCCUAAUUUCCUAAUAAUAUUAAGCUACCCUAUUUUAUAGGAGAAAUUAUGCUAAAAUGAGUAAUAAGAGAAACUAGACCCUCUCCGGGCACACGUGUAAAUUAGAGCGGACAAACCACUGACAACUAACGGACCCAAAAAAGAGGGUAAAACAACAAAACUCAAUAAACAAGAAAAACCUAUUAAAACAACCGUUAACCCAACACAGGAGUGCCACUUAAGGAAAGACUAAAAGGGGAAGAAGGAACUCGGCAAACACAAACCUCGCCUGUUUACCAAAAACACCGCCUCCUGCAAAUAGAAUGUAUUGGAGGUCCUGCCUGCCCAGUGACAAUAGGUUCAACGGCCGCGGUAUUUUGACCGUGCAAAGGUAGCGUAAUCACCUGUCUUUUAAAUAAAGACCUGUAUGAAUGGCAAGACGAGGGUUUUACUGUCUCCUCCCCCCAGUCAAUGAAAUUGAUCUACCCGUGCAGAAGCGGGUAUAAAAACAUAAGACGAGAAGACCCUAUGGAGCUUUAGGCACACAUCAAAUAUGUAAAAAACCAAAUCUUCCAAAUAGGCCUAAAAAAUGAGAAAAACAAGUAUUAAUGAUUAAUUGCCUUCGGUUGGGGCGACCACGGGGAAAAAUAAAACCCCCACAUGGAAUGGGUAAAAUUAUCCUAAGCCAAGAAAAACAAUUCUAAGCAACAAAAUUUUUGACCAAUAAACGACCCAGGGACAACAUCCCUGAGCAAUGAACCAAGUUACCCUAGGGAUAACAGCGCAAUCCUUUCCCAGAGCCCAUAUCAACGAAAGGGUUUACGACCUCGAUGUUGGAUCAGGGCAUCCUAACGGUGCAGCCG